Molecule: long non-coding RNA, 3121 nt
Filed under: Trifolium pratense (red clover)
Lineage: Eukaryota; Viridiplantae; Streptophyta; Magnoliopsida; Fabales; Fabaceae
Description: long non-coding RNA (TPRA_LNC013954)
Source: RNAcentral
UAAUACUUUGAAUGAUCCAUUACAAAAGUUAGACACUGCGAUUCUGCCAAAUUAACCAAUAAUAAAAAAUUGCACUUAGAUAUGUUGUGUGAACUCACCAGAUAACCUUCUAUAAAAGUGUAAAUAACUUAGAUCUUGCUGUCUCAGUUGUGGCCAAAACCUCAACAAAAGGAUGUUAAUCACACAAAUUUGUUGGUUCAUGCUUUUCAUAAUAUUGUCUUUCAUAUGUGUUCACCGUUUUGUCAUUGAUUAAAACCUGCAAGAUACAAACCAAAAGACUUAAAAGCUUUUCUGAAGUCUGCAAAAUGAUAAUUCCACUACAUAAUCAAGUGUAACAUUAAAAGAAAAGAGGACUGUAUAUCAUACUUGGAUUCAAAAGUUUCUCUCCAUAAUUUUAGAAUUUACUUCUUUGUACUUAUCAUUUAUAAAUAUCAUAAGAAAGCAUAACUGAAUCACUAGCUCCUGAAAAUGCAAAGUACCUUCAGCACUAGGUAAAAACGGUAUUUACUUAAAUGAAGCCAACAAAUUACUUAGCCAAAUAUGUAACAUAUCCACCAUACAUAAUGUAAUAUCGUAUCAUUAGAAUUAUAUAUAAAACUGGCUGCGAGAGUCACCAUUCAUAUGUUGAUCAAAUCAUAACCUUCGAGGUCACCCUAAAUGGGUUCCGCCUACAAAGAAGUUAUCAAAAAACGUAAAAUAAGUAUACAAGUAUAAAGAUAAAUGAAAAAUUAACAUAAAUCAAUAAUGUACCUCGGACAUCUAGAAAAAUGCCCUGCAUCCAGCUGCCCAACAACCUGCUUCCCUCAUCAUACAGCACCACAUCUCGCUGCCAUGGUAUUGUAGCAUCAUCAUAUAGUGGUGACUCAACAGCUGAUGCAUGUGCAUGGUUAGCUACCAGUUUCACCUUAUGCGGCAAAAUCAUCUGAUUCUUCUAAGGUAGAAUAUUGGCCUGUCUGUUAUCUUUAGGAAGCAUGAUCGUUCAAAAAAAAUAUGCAAGAGAUAUAUUAAUUAAUAAACAGAAGCUUAAGGGCUCAAGCAUACAGUAAGUAGUGGCAUAUAAGUUAGAACUUCUACCAUUUCUCCAACCAAAAUAGAAACACAAAAUUCAACCUGUGUCAAUUACUCAAUUUCAUAUCAUCUUUCUCAAUGUCAAUAUACAAAGGAGAUACAAUAAACAAAACAUCAAGGGCUGAAGCACAGCAACAAGUAGUAGCAUAUAAAUUAGGACUUGAACCAUUUCUCCAACCAAAAUAGAAACACAAAAUUCAACCUUUGUGUUAAUUGCAUCUCGUCAUUCUCAAUUUCAAUAUGUAAAAGAGAUAUACUAAUUCUAUAGAUGACACUACAAGUUUUCAUUUAAAAAACAAUUACAGCAAUUCAAAUAUAAGAGAGUAAGUUGAUGGAAAAUACCUGCAAUUGUAUAAAAAUUGAAAUGAACAACUACAGAAGAUAAAGUAAUAAUUUGAUCGUGUAUUGCUAUCAGCCUAAGCCACAAGGCUUACCUCACACAGAAGAUACUAGGUGACCCUUUUUCUCAUUCUAUAACAGAAAACUUAGAUAAUAAACUCUCUCUACACUCUCCCAUUUUAUAUCAACUUACUCAUGCUUCUCCCUUCCCUGUGCCAGCUCAACACCUUUCAUUCCCUUGUGUUUUCUAGUGUACACUCUCCAAAACUUGAGCUUGUUUUCCUCAGAACCCAAUACAUCAGGGCCCGAUGCUGCAUCUACCACAUUCCUAUCAUCAUUCAAUUACUUGAAUCUAAAAAUUAAAUACAUAGAUUUUCCUACCUGGUCUAAGCCUCAAAAUGAGUCAAAUAAGUAAUCUGAGCAACAUGUAAGUUGGGGAUAAAAACUGAGAUUCUAAUUUAUUGGUUACAUCACUAUUUGCAUCACUACCAAAUACCCAUUCCAAAGAAAGAAUAAUAUACCACACAAAGGGAAGUACUGGUGUGUGGUGGAAGAAGGAGCAUAUCAAAUGGAAUUGGAAGCAAUUUUAUUUCUCCUACGUCUUAUGCCUGCAAUGUAGCAAACAUGACUUAUGAACCAGUUUCAGCCACUGAUCAUGCAAGUUACGUUUUUAGCACCUAUUGGGAUAAAUUUAAAAGUAAUAGAGCCACUUGCUAAUAAUUUCACUCUUUAGGUUAUACAUACAAUUUCAUAAAGUAAUAAUUUGAGAUUUCCUUUCAAUCAAUAACUUAAUGUAAUUCUUCACAAAACAGGUUGAGCUUCUUGCCGAUUUUAAUUAUCUAGAGACCAUUGUUGUCAGAGCAUCAAUGCAAGGAUUCUUAAGCUUCGACUUUCAAUUAUCUUUAAAUUUCAAGAGAUAUCGUCAACGUCAUUUAAAUAUUCUAUGUUAUUACAUGGCUAUGUCAUUCUCUCUUAGAUUGAAUUUGUAGCACUAACCAAAGUGGGGGAUAAAGAGGAUCACAAAAGAAACAGAGAGACAGAGAUAGCAGCGGAAAAUAUGAUUAAUGAGAUCACUCAAAAACCAUUAAAACCACGCCUUAUGUCACAAGCUUGUAUCUAAACCAAGCAAUUUUCCCACAAAUUCACAAAAAUAAAGGAUUUCAUAACAAGUAGAUACUACAAAUUUCUUAAUUCAUAACUCAUUUUCAUAAAUGAAUUUUUUUUUCUCUUAAACGAAUCUUAAAAGGAAACGAAGGGGUUCAACAACAUAUUUUUGCAAUCAUGGAUAUCAUUCACUCUAAAGAAAAUUUUCAAAUUACCAAGUUCCAACAUUCAACAACAGUAUAAAAGGAACCAUCAACUUCGAAUUAAAUUAUCUCCUUUCUUUUCUUCAUGAAUUUGUAAAAGAUGAAUACAAUGGUAUAGGAACCGUAGCAGAUGGAUACAUUACCUGGAGUGUACGAGAACGAUAACUGUUUUCGAGAUGGAGAAUGAGAGACAUGAUACAGAGAGAUCGUUGCGAGUGAUGGAGACGGUGACAGUGGAGAAUGACGAGAGGCGAGAGAUAGUGGCAGAUUGUUCGAAGACGUUGAAAGUGGAGAAUGUCGAGCGGUGAGAGACGGUUCUAGUUCGUUAAGACGGUGAGAUGAGAGGGUACUGAUACUGAGAGAGACGGUGGGGUUUCUCGGUGUUUUAUGUCUUUACUGUAUUUUUA